This 515-nucleotide ribosomal RNA is filed under the name Phytoplasma sp. Its description in RNAcentral is "Candidatus Phytoplasma sp. partial 16S ribosomal RNA". Lineage: Bacteria; Bacillati; Mycoplasmatota; Mollicutes; Acholeplasmatales; Acholeplasmataceae. The record is from RNAcentral.
AAGACGACUGUUAGCUUGAGAGGAUUAGUACCCCUGGUAGUCAUGCCGUAACGUUGAGUACUAAGUGUCGGGUUUUUUGGUUCUGUUCUUAGUCCUUUCUAAACUCUUACUGUCCCCGACUGGCGCACGCGUGCACCUUGUUAGAAUUCAAGGGAUUCCCCGGGGGCCCGGAAUCAUGUUGUAUCAUUCGAAUAUUCUCGAUGAACCUUACAAAGCCUUGACAUGUUUUUGCUAAACGAGAACACUAUCAGAGAAGGUUACCUCUUUGGAAGUGGUGCACGGUUGUCGCCUGCUCGUGUCCUGAUCUGGUCGGGUAAGGUUUAGUUAAAUCCAGAACCUUACCCAUCCCUGCUCCUACGUUGUGAUCAGGACUUUAAGGAAACUGCCGGUGAUCUGCUGGAGGAAGGUGAGAAUAAGGUCGGAUCAACAUGCCACUUAUGAGCUGGUUUAGUCAUGUGAUACACUGGCUGUUACAUGGGGUUUCUAAAGAGUAGCUAAAGAUUUUUUUUUUUUUU